This is a long non-coding RNA of Acanthaster planci (crown-of-thorns starfish), 752 nucleotides long. RefSeq lists it as uncharacterized. The record is from RefSeq and is a predicted model, not a curated record. NCBI's taxonomy places the organism in Eukaryota, Metazoa, Echinodermata, Asteroidea, Valvatida, Acanthasteridae.
ACGACCGGGGCGCUCUCUGAAAACCGUGAGAAUUCGUCCAAAGGAUAAACAGCCUCUAAUAUGGUGAGUUGCGGGUUCGGAAAAAGGCAGUCAUGGCUAAAAACGAAGGGCGAAAAUGAAGUUAAGAAACUUUGAUUUAUCCAUGGAGGUAGAAAAAGGAAAAAAACAGCCCGUGCAAUCACAGGUUGAGCGCCCCCUUCGAAUUUCACAGUUGGACAAUAAUAAGACGAGAACACGUGGUGUACAUGUGGUACGCCAUUCAUCAAUUCGCGGGCUGCCAGUGACUGCAUAACGGAAUGUUGGAGCAGGUUGAAAGGAAGCCACACACGCAUGUUUUCUGGAGUGUGAGGACUGAUAUUGCAUAUGUGGACUUGCACAGGGCUCCCAUCCCCUCUCGUAGCAGUCCUUGGAGCUGAUCAAAGGAAUGAAUGAGAGGACUACUUUCUGAUAACAAUAAUGAUCAGCAGGAUGUGACAAGACAAGACAGGAACAAGCAAGAUUGGCUUACAUGAUAGUUUAAUUUCAGCAAAUGAAGACCCACUUGAAAGCAUCAUAUCACAUUGUACAACGUUUAUUGGAGAAAAGGAGUGUAUUUCUUGAGGUGGCCCCUGAUGCAUGGAGGAGUGACUGAAAGGAACACUUACAAGCCUCCAUCUUAUGGAUGUUGGUACCAAUUCCUCUGUCUUGCCAAAGAGUGACGCUGGUGUGGACAGUGCUUGGCAGGUACCCUCAGGAGCACUGAUUGGCAGGAG